AGAGUUUGAUCAUGGCUCAGGAUGAACGCUAGCGGCAGGCUUAACACAUGCAAGUCGAGGGGUAUAGUAGCAAUACUAGAGACCGGCGCACGGGUGCGUAACGCGUAUGCAAUCUACCUUUUGCAGAGGGAUAGCCCAGAGAAAUUUGGAUUAAUACCUCAUAGUAUUAUAGUAUGGCAUCAUAUUAUAAUUAAAGUCACAACGGCAAAAGAUGAGCAUGCGUCCCAUUAGUUAGUUGGUAAGGUAACGGCUUACCAAGACUACGAUGGGUAGGGGUCCUGAGAGGGAGAUCCCCCACACUGGUACUGAGACACGGACCAGACUCCUACGGGAGGCAGCAGUGAGGAAUAUUGGACAAUGGGCGCAAGCCUGAUCCAGCCAUGCCGCGUGCAGGAUGACGGUCCUAUGGAUUGUAAACUGCUUUUGCACAGGAAGAAACAACGCUACGUGUAGCGUCUUGACGGUACUGUGAGAAUAAGGAUCGGCUAACUCCGUGCCAGCAGCCGCGGUAAUACGGAGGAUCCAAGCGUUAUCCGGAAUCAUUGGGUUUAAAGGGUCCGUAGGCGGUUUAGUAAGUCAGUGGUGAAAGCCCAUCGCUCAACGGUGGAACGGCCAUUGAUACUGCUAGACUUGAAUUAUUAGGAAGUAACUAGAAUAUGUAGUGUAGCGGUGAAAUGCUUAGAGAUUACAUGGAAUACCAAUUGCGAAGGCAGGUUACUACUAAUGGAUUGACGCUGGUGGACGAAAGCGUGGGUAGCGAACAGGAUUAGAUACCCUGGUAGUCCACGCCGUAAACGAUGGAUACUAGCUGUUGGGAGCAAUCUCAGUGGCUAAGCGAAAGUGAUAAGUAUCCCACCUGGGGAGUACGUUCGCAAGAAUGAAACUCAAAGGAAUUGACGG
Molecule: ribosomal RNA, 900 nt
Filed under: uncultured bacterium
Lineage: Bacteria
Description: bacterial SSU rRNA
Rfam family: Bacterial small subunit ribosomal RNA
Source: RNAcentral